ACUGCCCCUAGAGGCCGUGCUGGUGUGGUCACCAUGUCACAUGUGUGUCAGUAGGCGGCAGAGAGGACAGGCUGUGUCUACACUCAGGGUUCUGACCUGUGAACAUCUGAACGAUAGGUAGCAUAACAAA
Molecule: small nucleolar RNA, 130 nt
Organism: Psammomys obesus (fat sand rat)
Lineage: Eukaryota; Metazoa; Chordata; Mammalia; Rodentia; Muridae
Product: small nucleolar RNA SNORA17
Exons: 1
Source: RefSeq, a predicted model, not a curated record